AACGCACAUUGCGCCCGCUGGUAUUCCGGCGGGCAUGCCCGUUCGAGCGUCAUUUUAAUUCCUUCCCAGAAGGGAGCUUCUGUUUCCACAGAGGUUUCCUCCAGGGGCGUUGGCACCUGUCGCCGCCUAGGCGACCGGAGCCCAAAUGCAGUGGCGGACGCGCAAGCGGUCCCUAGCGCAGUAAUAAAAACUUCGCUCAGGAGGCUCGCAGCAGUGGACCACAGCCUAACGCAAAAAGCUUUUUUUGCAACCAAAAACUUGACCUCGGAUCGGGUAGGACUACCCGCUGAACUUAA
This 296-nucleotide unclassified non-coding RNA is filed under the name uncultured fungus. Its description in RNAcentral is "partial contains 5.8S ribosomal RNA, internal transcribed spacer 2, and large subunit ribosomal RNA". The record is from RNAcentral. Lineage: Eukaryota; Fungi.